UACGUAGGGGGCUAGCGUUGUCCGGAAUCAUUGGGCGUAAAGCGCGUGUAGGCGGUCCGGUAAGUCCGCUGUGAAAGUCGGGGGCUCAACCCUCGAAUGCCGGUGGAUACUGUCGGGCUAGAGUGCGGAAGAGGCGAGUGGAAUUCCUGGUGUAGCGGUGAAAUGCGUAGAUAUCAAGAGGAACACCUGAGGUGAAGACGGGUUGCUGGGCUGACACUGACGCUGAGGCGCGAAAGCUAGGGUAGCAAACGGG
Molecule: ribosomal RNA, 253 nt
Filed under: uncultured bacterium
Lineage: Bacteria
Description: partial 16S ribosomal RNA
Rfam family: Bacterial small subunit ribosomal RNA
Source: RNAcentral